Long non-coding RNA from Helianthus annuus (common sunflower), 1168 nucleotides. RefSeq lists it as uncharacterized. Lineage: Eukaryota; Viridiplantae; Streptophyta; Magnoliopsida; Asterales; Asteraceae. The transcript has 5 exons. The record is from RefSeq and is a predicted model, not a curated record.
UUUCCCUCCAUUGAAUGCUUUCAUUCUCCUCAAAUCUCCUAAAAUCUACCUUUCCCCCAAAUCUCCUAAAUAUAAUUCUCCCCCAAAUCUUUCAAAUGCCAUUCAUCUUCACCACAAAGAACCACCGUCUUGUGACCGUCUGCCACUGCUGGAAACGAACCGCCAUUGACGACUCUUCUUGAAUCUGGGCUUGUGUCGAACCGUCUUCAAUGAGCAUGUGCCGAACCUGUGAUCCUCUGCCCAUUUCAUCAUCACCACAACGACCCUGUGUCGAAUCUUGUGAAUCAACGGGUUUGGAAUAAUUGGUCGAUUGGUGGCUAGGGUCGCCUUGAAGAGAGUUGAUGUUGAGCUUGUUGCUGUCAACGACCCAUUUGUCUCUGUGGUGUACACGGAUUUGAACAAGCGCCAUCACCCAUUAGACUUAAAUACUUUAAACUUAUUGACUUCUCACCAGCAGUCAUGAACCAAGCAACCCUCACGACACUCAUAGAGUAGUGCUUAACAUAUUUGAUGUGAGAACUGGAAAAAUAAUGAAAGGUUUCAACGAAAGGGCAGAUGAGUUUGCGUUUGGAGAAACCGGCGGUUUCACUGGGGUUUCUUGGCCUGAUUUCAGUUUUCAUGAAGGCCUCACCCGCCAUCCUUGUUGUGUCCCGAGAACGAGGAAGAAAUAUUGAAGAAGCUUAAAAAACACAGUGAAAAUGUUGGUGCACUUGUGUCUGUACUUUGUCUGUAUUCGGUCACGAUGUAAACGAUGUCCGUGUCAGUCCUGUAAGUUGACCAAGUCAACCGUCCUCCUGGUUUGACUUGGCCAAACAAUCAUAUAUUGGUUGUAAAGUGUCUGUCUCGAAGGUUGAGGAUCGAAGGAUGUUUCAUAUCCUUCGAUCACUUCGAAAGAUAUGCUUCGACUGAUAGACCUCGAAGGAUCAUCCUUCGAGGUCCUUGCUGAUCCUUCGAGAGCAUUGCAUUCGAAAGAUGAUCCUUCGGACCAUCUAUCGAAUCCUUCGAGCAAGACCUGCUGUGUAUGGGUAUAAAUACCCAUGCAGUGUGUUGUGUUCAUUUAGAGACACUUAGAAAGACAGACAGAAAGAUAGAGCUGAGAGCAUUCUGUCCGAAACACACACACACAUAGUGAGAGUUUGCAAGUUAGAUUUGUAAACAUUGUGCUUGU